Molecule: long non-coding RNA, 420 nt
Filed under: Mytilus galloprovincialis (Mediterranean mussel)
Lineage: Eukaryota; Metazoa; Mollusca; Bivalvia; Mytilida; Mytilidae
Source: RNAcentral
UAGAAUGAAAUUCAAAACAGUGUGGCUGUGGCCAUUGAUUGACACAUUAAAUUCGUCCAUUGACUGGGACAAUUUAGGUGAACGUUUGUAUGUAACGACCACUGCUCACUAUGCACUUUUUAAGAACUUAAACUAUGGUCACCAAAGGUUCUCAACACCUUAAUAAAGUAAUUCGAAAAAUUAAUCAGAAAUAACACGAUGUUUUGAUUUAUAUCAAUUAUAUAAAUCAAAACAUAAAGGUUAUUCCUGAUUAAUUUUUCGAAUUAUUUUAUAAUUAAAGGCGUUAAGAAACCUUUGGUGACCCCACAGUUUAAAUGUCUAUCGUAGAUACGUCGUUAACAGUGGUCGUUACAGACAAACGUUCACGUAAAUUGUCCCAGUCAAUGGAUGAAUUUAAUGUGUCAAUCAAUGGCCACAGCC